GGGGGWUUAGCUCAGCUGGGAGAGCACCUGCUUUGCAAGCAGGGGGUCGUCGGUUCGAUCCCGUCAWCCUCCACCA
This 76-nucleotide transfer RNA is filed under the name Ralstonia solanacearum. RNAcentral's name for it is "tRNA-Ala". It matches the Rfam family "tRNA". From Rfam's summary of the family: Transfer RNA (tRNA) molecules are approximately 80 nucleotides in length. Their secondary structure includes four short double-helical elements and three loops (D, anti-codon, and T loops). Lineage: Bacteria; Pseudomonadati; Pseudomonadota; Betaproteobacteria; Burkholderiales; Burkholderiaceae. The record is from RNAcentral.